This 74-nucleotide transfer RNA is filed under the name Ilumatobacter fluminis. It matches the Rfam family "tRNA". Rfam says of the family: Transfer RNA (tRNA) molecules are approximately 80 nucleotides in length. Their secondary structure includes four short double-helical elements and three loops (D, anti-codon, and T loops). Further hydrogen bonds mediate the characteristic L-shaped molecular structure. tRNAs have two regions of fundamental functional importance: the anti-codon, which is responsible for specific mRNA codon recognition, and the 3' end, to which the tRNAs corresponding amino acid is attached (by aminoacyl-tRNA synthetases). tRNAs cope with the degeneracy of the genetic code in two manners: having more than one tRNA (with a specific anti-codon) for a particular amino acid; and 'wobble' base-pairing, i.e. permitting non-standard base-pairing at the 3rd anti-codon position. RNAcentral also lists the same sequence under 2 other names. Lineage: Bacteria; Bacillati; Actinomycetota; Acidimicrobiia; Acidimicrobiales; Ilumatobacteraceae. The record is from Rfam by way of RNAcentral.
GCCGACGUAGCCCAAUUGGCAGAGGCACGAGGUUUAGGUCCUCGGCAGUGAGAGUUCGAGUCUCUCCGUCGGCA